GUCUGUCAUAGUCGCAGAGGCGAUGACCCAUGGCCAUGUGUUGUCUGUCACAGAGUCAAGAUGGGAGCUAUGGAGGGACAUGCAAAAUUGGAUAAGAGGGGAUGAGCAAUUGGAUAAGAGGGGAUGAGCAAUUGGACAAGAGGGUAUGAGCCAGCCACGCACCAAGAACCGAAUCGAGAGGAAUUGGAGAAGAAGGGGUGGUAGCGAGGGUGAGGGAUUUUAUCGGCAACGAAGUAGGAGGAGGAAGAGGAAGGGGAAAGGAUAAUAAGAAAAGGAAGGGAGGGAAACGAACAGAAAAGGAAGAAGAGGAGGAAAAAGAUGAUGAUCACAUGAAGCCCACACACGGUAAACAGAGGGACCUUCGAUAAUUAAGCUAAAAAAUAAGGAAA
RNAcentral lists this unclassified non-coding RNA (389 nucleotides) under Hevea brasiliensis (rubber tree). Lineage: Eukaryota; Viridiplantae; Streptophyta; Magnoliopsida; Malpighiales; Euphorbiaceae. The record is from RNAcentral.